This 730-nucleotide ribosomal RNA is filed under the name uncultured bacterium. Its description in RNAcentral is "bacterial SSU rRNA". It matches the Rfam family "Bacterial small subunit ribosomal RNA", at positions 771 to 1501 of the family's 1533-position model. The record is from RNAcentral.
AACAGGAUUAGAUACCCUGGUAGUCCACGCUGUAAACGAUGUCGAUUUGGAGGUUGUGCCCUUGAGGCGUGGCUUCCGGAGCUAACGCGUUAAAUCGACCGCCUGGGGAGUACGGCCGCAAGGUUAAAACUCAAAUGAAUUGACGGGGGCCCGCACAAGCGGUGGAGCAUGUGGUUUAAUUCGAUGCAACACGAAGAACCUUACCUACUCUUGACACCCAGAGAACUUUCCAGAGAUGGAUUGGUGCCUUCGGGAACUCUGAGACAGGUGCUGCAUGGCUGUCGUCAGCUCGUGUUGUGAAAUGUUGGGUUAAGUCCCGCAACGAGCGCAACCCUUAUCCUUUGUUGCCAGCGGUUCGGCCGGGAACUCAAAGGAGACUGCCAGUGAUAAACUGGAGGAAGGUGGGGAUGACGUCAAGUCAUCAUGGCCCUUACGAGUAGGGCUACACACGUGCUACAAUGGCGUAUACAAAGAGAAGCGACCUCGCGAGAGCAAGCGGACCUCAUAAAGUACGUCGUAGUCCGGAUUGGAGUCUGCAACUCGACUCCAUGAAGUCGGAAUCGCUAGUAAUCGUAGAUCAGAAUGCUACGGUGAAUACGUUCCCGGGCCUUGUACACACCGCCCGUCACACCAUGGGAGUGGGUUGCAAAAGAAGUAGGUAGCUUAACCUUCGGGAGGGCGCUUACCACUUUGUGAUUCAUGACUGGGGUGAAGUCGUAACAAGGUAACC